AGUGAACGCUGGCGGUAGGCCUAACACAUGCAAGUCGAACGGCAGCACAGUAAGAGCUUGCUCUUACGGGUGGCGAGUGGCGGACGGGUGAGGAAUACAUCGGAAUCUACUUUUUCGUGGGGGAUAACGUAGGGAAACUUACGCUAAUACCGCAUACGACCUACGGGUGAAAGCAGGGGAUCUUCGGACCCUGCGCGAUUGAAUGAGCCGAUGUCGGAUUAGCUAGUUGGCGGGGUAAAGGCCCACCAAGGCGACGAUCCGUAGCUGGUCUGAGAGGAUGAUCAGCCACACUGGAACUGAGACACGGUCCAGACUCCUACGGGAGGCAGCAGUGGGGAAUAUUGGACAAUGGGCGGAAGCCUGAUCCAGCCAUACCGCGUGGGUGAAGAAGGCCUUCGGGUUGUAAAGCCCUUUUGUUGGGAAAGAAAAGCAGCAGGUUAAUACCCCGCUGUUCUGACGGUACCCAAAGAAUAAGCACCGGCUAACUUCGUG
Molecule: ribosomal RNA, 492 nt
Filed under: uncultured bacterium
Lineage: Bacteria
Description: partial 16S ribosomal RNA
Rfam family: Bacterial small subunit ribosomal RNA
Source: RNAcentral